GUCCUUAGUACGAGAGGACCGGGAUGGACAUACCUCUGGUGUACCAGUUGUCGUGCCAACGGCAUAGCUGGGUAGCUAUGUGUGGACGGGAUAAGUGCUGAAAGCAUCUAAGCAUGAAGCCCCCCUCAAGAUGAGAUUUCCCAACUUCGGUUAUAAGAUCCCUCAAAGAUGAUGAGGUUAAUAGGUUCGAGGUGGAAGCAUGGUGACAUGUGGAGCUGACGAAUACUAAUCGAUCGAAGACUUAAUCAA
Molecule: ribosomal RNA, 249 nt
Filed under: Staphylococcus aureus
Lineage: Bacteria; Bacillati; Bacillota; Bacilli; Caryophanales; Staphylococcaceae
Description: partial 23S ribosomal RNA
Rfam family: Bacterial large subunit ribosomal RNA
Source: RNAcentral